Apodemus sylvaticus (European woodmouse) is the source of this 498-nucleotide long non-coding RNA. RefSeq lists it as uncharacterized. The record is from RefSeq and is a predicted model, not a curated record. NCBI's taxonomy places the organism in Eukaryota, Metazoa, Chordata, Mammalia, Rodentia, Muridae. The transcript is spliced from 2 exons.
ACAGUGCGCAAGAGGCGGGGCGGCCAGGCGGAGGGCUCGAGAGGAAGGACACGUGACUCUGUCAGCCAAUGGCUGAGCCGCCUGCGAAAGUUUACCGGCUGCGGCCGUGAUGGAUCACCGUUUCAGUGGCAUUUAAAUCCCCGGCGCUCCUCAGUGUAGGUGACGCGCGCUCGCCCCCCCAGGCAGCCCGGGCCGCGGCGGGAGCUGCGGCCGCUCCCGGAGCUGACUUGGAACCCUGAGGCCAAAGGGAGUCGAGACUGCCUUCUGCGCGCGCCCGGCUCUGCGCGCCUCCGCCUCCAGAUGUGGGGGGAUGGGAGGCACCCUCCGCGGCCCCUUCCCCACCCAGCCCUGAAAGCUGAAUUGGCAAGAGGUCUGUUUUUCCUGAACCCAUCCACAGCUGGGAGAUUAAUCAACCACACUGAAAAUGGGAGGAGGGAAAGGAAGGGUUGGAAUGUAGAUGUUUGAAACAAAUGUGUAUAAAUAAAUGAAUUUUGAUAA